AUGUUACAAAAACAAUAUCAAAUACAACAACAAAUGCAUUUACAGCAGCUACUACAACAACAAAACAUAAAUCAAUUAAAUAUGCUAAAACAAGGUGGUCAAGUUAAACAUCCUAAUAACCCACAAUAUAUUCCAAAGCAAUCUAAUCCCAAUGUUACAAUAAUGAAAAUGCCACAAUGCAUGUAUGUGAAUCCGCAUGACAAAAGAAACAAUUCGAUGUCUUCUCAAAAACUUGUGAAACCCCCGACAAACAUGUCUGAAAUAGGUAACAGUAAUAAUAGUAAUAUUAACAGUAAUAUUAUUAAUAACAAUAAUAAUACUAACAGUAGUGGUAGUAGUAGUGGUAAUAGUAAUAGUAGUAUCAAUGUUCAAAAAAAUAUGAGUGCAUCGAAUUCAACAUUAAUAGGUGAUUUAACUAGCCAUGUGAAUGCAUCACCAGGGAAGUUAGCUUACAAUAGUAAUACAUUACAUAAAAUAAAUCCUAUUACCUGUAACAGUAAUAGUAAUAAUAGUGUAAGUUUAAUACCAUCGAAACAAAACAAGAUGGAUCAUUCGUCCAAUCCUCAAAUACAUGUUCCAUCACAAAUGCAUCCACAGCAAUCGCUUGUACAAUCACAAUUGUAUACACAACCACAUGUACAACCGCAUACACAAUCACAUGUACAGCCUUAUACACAACAGCAAAUAAUUCCAACUAAUAAACCGUUAAAUCCAAACAAUAUAGCAUGCACAAUGAAUAAGCAACCAAACCCAAUGAUUGCUCAACACUUCCCUAUGAAUCAAGGGAAUGUACAACCGUUUAUGCAUACUAGUAGUAACAUUAACAACAGUAAUAAUAACAAUAGUAAUAAUAAUAACAAUAGUAGUAAUAGUAAUAGUGGUUCCCCGCUACACGCUAGUAACAAUCCUGUUCAUAUUUUACAACAACCCCCUUCUGCUUUUGUUCAAAGAAGCGCAUCGACACAACAGCAUAUUCCACAUAAGCAACUGUCAUAUAACGAAUGGGCGCAAAAUCAGUAUUUACAGCACCAGUACAAUCUCCAACAGUAUCAACUGACACCGCAACAGUUGAUGUUGUAUCAGAGACAACAACAGCAUCAAAAACCUGGAAUACAACAAGGUAUACCACACGGUAUAACACAUGGUAUUCCACAAGGUAUGUUGCCACCAAAUGUAACAAUAUUACAACCAAAACAUAUGCAAAAUAUAUCACAAAUGACGGGUUUACCUUCUAACGUAGCACAACAUAUAUCGCCUGUACAAAUUCAUUCUGGACCAAAAACGGGUGUAUUUCCUGCUAACUUUCACCCCCACAUGUUAAAGGAAAAUAUGAUAAAUGUCAGUGGUAUAGGAACCAAUGCGAUCGGAAGUAUAACUAAUUAUGAUUAUAUACAUAAAAUGAAUGAAAUGCAACGAAUGAGUAACAUGUUACCAAACAAGAAUAACACUAUAUUGGACCCAAUUAAUAACAAGAGCACUAACGGAGGUAUUGUUAAUUCAGCACACUUUAUACGAAUUGUAUGCGUAAUAUCUUGA
This 1536-nucleotide long non-coding RNA is filed under the name Piliocolobus tephrosceles (Ugandan red Colobus). RNAcentral's name for it is "lncRNA (ENSPTEG00000004364.1)". The record is from RNAcentral. Lineage: Eukaryota; Metazoa; Chordata; Mammalia; Primates; Cercopithecidae.